This 551-nucleotide ribosomal RNA is filed under the name uncultured Glomeromycotina. RNAcentral's name for it is "SSU rRNA". It matches the Rfam family "Eukaryotic small subunit ribosomal RNA", at positions 548 to 1098 of the family's 1831-position model. Lineage: Eukaryota; Fungi; Glomeromycota. The record is from RNAcentral.
UUGGAGGGCAAGUCUGGUGCCAGCAGCCGCGGUAAUUCCAGCUCCGAUAGCGUAUAUUAAAGUUGUUGCAGUUAAAAAGCUCGUAGUUGAACUUCGGGGUCUACCCAUUGGUCAGGCUUAAUUGUCUGCACUGGUGAGAUGGAUCUCUACCUUCUGAGGAACUUUCAUGCCAUUUAUUUGGUGUGGUUGGAAAUCAGGACUGUUACUUUGAAAAAAUUAGAGUGUUUAAAGCAGACUAUCGUCUGAAUACAUUAGCAUGGAAUAAUGAAAUAGGACGGACUGAUUCUAUUUCGUUGGUUUCUAGGAUCACCGUAAUGAUUAAUAGGGAUAGUUGGGGGCAUUAGUAUUCAAUUGUCAGAGGUGAAAUUCUUGGAUUUAUUGAAGACUAACUACUGCGAAAGCAUUUGCCAAGGAUGUUUUCAUUAAUCAAGAACGAAAGUUAGGGGAUCGAAGACGAUCAGAUACCGUCGUAGUCUUAACCAUAAACUAUGCCGACUAGGGAUCGGACGAAGUUAAUUUUAUAAUGACGCGUUCGGCGCCUUACGAGAAAC